GACGAACGCUGGCGGCGUGCUUAACACAUGCAAGUCGAACGGUAAGGCCCUUCGGGGUACACGAGUGGCGAACGGGUGAGUAACACGUGGGUGAUCUGCCCUGCACUUCGGGAUAAGCCUGGGAAACUGGGUCUAAUACCGGAUAGGACCACUGCCUGCAUGGGUGGUGGUGGAAAGCGUUUGCGAUGGGGGAUGGGCCCGCGGCCUAUCAGCUUGUUGGUGGGGUGAUGUCCUACCAAGGCGACGACGGGUAGCCGGCCUGAGAGGGUGACCGGACACACUGGGACUGAGAUGCGGCCCAGACUCCUACGGGAGGCAGCAGUGGGGAAUAUUGCACAAUGGGCGCAAGCCUGAUGCAGCGACGCCGCGUGAGGGAUGACGGCCUUCGGGUUGUAAACCUCUUUCAGAACCGACGAAGCGCAAGUGACGGUAGGUGCAGAAGAAGGACCGGCCAACUACGUGCCAGCCGCCGCAGUAA
RNAcentral lists this ribosomal RNA (478 nucleotides) under uncultured bacterium. RNAcentral describes it as "partial 16S ribosomal RNA". It matches the Rfam family "Bacterial small subunit ribosomal RNA", at positions 28 to 523 of the family's 1533-position model. The record is from RNAcentral.